Molecule: transfer RNA, 94 nt
Filed under: Pelolinea sp.
Lineage: Bacteria; Bacillati; Chloroflexota; Anaerolineae; Anaerolineales; Anaerolineaceae
Description: tRNA-Sec
Rfam family: Selenocysteine transfer RNA
Source: RNAcentral
GGGGAUGGUUGAGUCCCGGUGGGUUCCUCGGUCUUCAAAAUCGGUGGCGGGCUGUUAUGCAGGCCGCGGUGGGUUCGACUCCCAUCCAUCCCCG